Molecule: ribosomal RNA, 438 nt
Filed under: uncultured bacterium
Lineage: Bacteria
Description: partial 16S ribosomal RNA
Rfam family: Bacterial small subunit ribosomal RNA
Source: RNAcentral
AGCGAACGCUGGCGGCAGGCCUAACACAUGCAAGUCGAACGAACUCUUCGGAGUUAGUGGCGGACGGGUGAGUAACCCGUUGGAACGUGCCUUUUGGUUCGGCAUAACUCAGGGAGACUUGUGCUAAUACCGAAUGUUCCCUUCGGGGGCAAGAUUUCUCGCCAUUAGAGCGGCCCGCGUCUGGUUAGCUAGUUGGUGAGGUAACGGCACACCAAAGCAACGAUCAGUAGCUGGUCUGUGAGAAGGACAAGCCACACUGGAACUGAGACAAGGCCCAGACCCGAACGCGAGGGAGCGGAGGAGAAGGGUACACAGUGGGAGAGGGCAAAAGCCAGCGACGCCGUGUCCGGGAAAAAGGCAAUGGGGUAGGAUUGUAAAAUUCUUUCACCGGGGACGAUAAUGACGGUACCCGGAGAAGAAGCCCCGGCUAACUUCGUG